AUCAAAGAAACAUUUCAAAAAACAGCUGUGCCCUAAUAGUAGACUGAUUAAUUUCUGUUUCUCUUCAACAUAACUAACUAGGACAACUUGGCUCUAUUUCAGCUGAAAAUGCAUUGGCAUUUAUCUAAUGACUGUAAGGAAGGCAAAUGUUACAUGUUAAUAUUUCCAUAAAACCGGAGCUUAAGAAAAUCAAAGGCACUUUUUACUUGACUUGGAAUGAACAAAAUUAUUCUGAAGGCUUCUCAGAGCCUUAAGAUGAUUCAAACCUAUUGUUUCUGAUUUUCCAUUGUGGUGACUUCUACGGAGAUAACUAUCAUUUUAAUAGAACAAAACCAGAGGUGAGUUGCCAUAUUUUAAGAGGUUGUUGUCCCAUUUGAUUUUCUACCUAUAGCCAACUAAUUUUCUUUUAAAUCAAGUCUAUAUUAUGAUCACAAAACUUUUGCCAGGUUUAAAGUUCUAUGAUGUGAUUUUCACAAACAGGUGGUAGAAAUUGGACAUUCACCAAUGGGAAAGCUGGUUUGUGCCAUCAAAAAAAAAAUACUUGGUAAUUGUGGGAUGUAAAAGGUGGGUAGCUACAGGCUGGGCACAAAAUCAAAUUUCCUUCUUACACAAUUACUUUUUAUUGUGUUUUAUAUUAUUCACAUAAUUUAGUUUUGAGGAUACAUAAAAUGACAUGUAAAGACUGAUUUUUUUUUACAAUCAUUUUAAGUACUAUGACGAUUUUUAAGAUAGCUCUAGCUAUCCUAACUCUUAUGAACAUUGAAUCUUCACGUUGUUGUUACAGAAUCCAACUAUGUAGACAGCUGGUGUGGCAUGUUAGUUUCUAGUGCGUUGGUUGUCAUUGAUACAGCAUCUAACUUUAA
Molecule: long non-coding RNA, 863 nt
Filed under: Homo sapiens (human)
Lineage: Eukaryota; Metazoa; Chordata; Mammalia; Primates; Hominidae
Description: HSALNT0008931
Source: RNAcentral